RNAcentral lists this ribosomal RNA (253 nucleotides) under uncultured bacterium. RNAcentral's name for it is "partial 16S ribosomal RNA". It matches the Rfam family "Bacterial small subunit ribosomal RNA", at positions 524 to 776 of the family's 1533-position model. The record is from RNAcentral.
UACAGAGGGUGCAAGCGUUAAUCGGAUUUACUGGGCGUAAAGCGUGCGUAGGCGGUUCGCUAAGUCGGUUGUGAAAUCCCUGGGCUUAACCUGGGAACUGCAGUCGAUACUGGCGGACUAGAGUACGGUAGAGGGUGGCGGAACUCCGGGUGUAGCGGUGAAAUGCGUAGAUAUCCGGAAGAACACCGAUGGCGAAGGCGGAUCUCUGGGCCUUACCUGACGCUGAGGCGCGAAAGCUAGGGGAGCGAACAGG